RNAcentral lists this long non-coding RNA (888 nucleotides) under Rosa chinensis. RNAcentral's name for it is "sRNA RchiOBHm_Chr7g0182811". The record is from RNAcentral. Lineage: Eukaryota; Viridiplantae; Streptophyta; Magnoliopsida; Rosales; Rosaceae.
CUCUUCCUCUUCCUUUCUUCUAGUUUGUGUUUUCUUCAUAACUAUGUCUAGCUAAAUAAUUUUGUAGCUAGGGGCGAUUUCAAAGCCCCGAACAUGUUCAAUUCAUAUUAAUAAUUCAGUUUUUGGUUUUCUAUAUUGUCAAUUGAGUGUUUGAUUCACCGUGUCUACAAGAUGAAUCUUUACUUAUUUGCUUAGGUGCGCAACUAAAUGAAUAAGUUAGGAUUCUAAUGCUAGGAGUAACACUAGAUUCGUAUAUGUCUUGUGUCCAUUCCAAUUGAGUAGCAAAAUGUUUUCGCGAAUUACAUGUGGCUCAAACCAUAGGUUUAGCAAGACUACCAACGUACUUGUGACCCUAGAUUUAUCCAAACCCUUUUCUUGCUUAAUGAUUUUGAUAUGUUAAACUUAGCGAGCUUGUGUCUAGGUUGCAUAUUUGAAAAUAGAUUAAGUGGUGAGCUUGUAUUCACUUAACGAGGAACUAAGAAAGGGUAAUGGGUUAACUCGAGCUUGUGAGUUAAUUUCGGGUAAAUUCAAUUGAGAUUUAGAAUUCCAUAACUGAGCUUUGAUAUGAAUGAAUGUGUUCGGUGCUUUCCGUGUUCCGUUUUACGUGAAUUAUUUCAUAUAGCAAAUCAACUCCAAUUGUUAUGAAAUUUUGUAUACAUAUUGUUAAAUGUGUCUUUAGUGUCCUGUAAAAGUUUCAGAAAAUUCCAUUGAGUCUAAGUUAGUUAAUUAAUUUAUUUUUAUUAACUGUUUAGUAGCAUAGUUUAUAGUAGUUUGUGACAUUUGAUUAGCAGUUUAGAAACAAUCUUCAGCGGGUAAUGACCCUUGCUUGAUCACUAUAUUACCAACGAUGAUGUUUGAGUGCAAGGUUUAAGUUGUGCAUCUUUUAAG